Rhinopithecus roxellana (golden snub-nosed monkey) is the source of this 119-nucleotide ribosomal RNA. Lineage: Eukaryota; Metazoa; Chordata; Mammalia; Primates; Cercopithecidae. The record is from Ensembl.
GACUACAGCCAUACACCCUGAACGCACCCAAUCUCAUCUGAUCUUGGAAGCUAAGCAGGGUUCGGCCUGGUUAGUACUUGAUGGGAGACAGUUGAAGCUUAAGAAGGCAACAGAAGAGA